This 443-nucleotide ribosomal RNA is filed under the name uncultured bacterium. RNAcentral's name for it is "partial 16S ribosomal RNA". It matches the Rfam family "Bacterial small subunit ribosomal RNA", at positions 338 to 795 of the family's 1533-position model. The record is from RNAcentral.
CCUACGGGAGGCUGCAGUGGGGAAUAUUGGGCAAUGGAGGAAACUCUGACCCAGCAACGCCGCGUGAAUGAUGAAGGUCUUCGGAUUGUAAAGUUCUUUUCUAAGGGAAGAAGAAAGUGACGGUACCUUAGGAAUAAGCCUCGGCUAACUACGUGCCAGCAGCCGCGGUAAUACGUAGGAGGCGAGCGUUAUCCGGAAUGACUGGGCGUAAAGGGUGCGUAGGUGGUUUGGCAAGUUAGUAGCGUAACUCCAAGGCUCAACCUUGGAACUACUACUAAAACUGUUGGACUUGAGUGCAGGAGGGGCAACCGGAAUUCCUAGUGUAGCGGUGGAAUGCGUAGAUAUCACGCAGAACUCCGAUUGCGAAGGCAGCAUACCGGCGCCCAACUGACGCUGAAGCACGAAAGCGUGGGUAUCGAACAGGAUUAGAUACCCCAGUAGUC